GAUGAACGCUGGCGGCGUGCCUAAUACAUGCAAGUCGAGCGAACAGACGAGGAGCUUGCUCCUCUGACGUUAGCGGCGGACGGGUGAGUAACACGUGGAUAACCUACCUAUAAGACUGGGAUAACUUCGGGAAACCGGAGCUAAUACCGGAUAAUAUAUUGAACCGCAUGGUUCAAUAGUGAAAGACGGUUUUGCUGUCACUUAUAGAUGGAUCCGCGCCGCAUUAGCUAGUUGGUAAGGUAACGGCUUACCAAGGCAACGAGGCGUAGCCGACCUGAGAGGGUGAUCGGCCACACUGGAACUGAGACACGGUCCAGACUCCUACGGGAGGCAGCAGUAGGGAAUCUUCCGCAAUGGGCGAAAGCCUGACGGAGCAACGCCGCGUGAGUGAUGAAGGUCUUCGGAGCGUAAAACUCUGUUAUUAGGGAAGAACAAAUGUGUAAGUAACUAUGCACGUCUUGACGGUACCUAAUCAGAAAGCCACGGCUAACUACGUG
Molecule: ribosomal RNA, 497 nt
Filed under: uncultured bacterium
Lineage: Bacteria
Description: partial 16S ribosomal RNA
Rfam family: Bacterial small subunit ribosomal RNA
Source: RNAcentral